UGCGGAAGGAUCAUUACCGAAUUGUCAAACGGGUUGUUGCUGGUCCUUGAAAGGGGACAUGUGCACGCUCUGUUUACACAUCCACUCACACCUGUGCACCCUCCGUAGUUCUAUGGUCUGGGAGACCCUGUCUUCCUGCCGUGGUUCUACGUCUUUACACACACACUGUAACAAAGUCUUAAGGAAUGUAUGCAGCGUCUAACGCAAUACAAUACAACUUUCAGCAACGGAUCUCUUGGCUCUCGCAUCGAUGAAGAACGCAGCGAAAUGCGAUAAGUAAUGUGAAUUGCAGAAUUCAGUGAAUCAUCGAAUCUUUGAACGCACCUUGCGCCCCUUGGCUAUUCCGAGGGGCAUGCCUGUUUGAGUAUCAUGAACACCUCAACUCUCAUGGUUCGCCGUGAUGAGCUUGGACUCUGGGGGAUUUGCUGGCCUGCGGUCAGCUCCCCUCAAAUGAAUCAGCCUCCCGGUGUGUGGUGGCAUCACGGGUGUGAUAAAUAUCUACGCUCGUGGUUGCCUGCCAGGUAACCUUUGGUGACAAAGGUUUGCUGGAGCUUACAGAUGUCUCUCCUCAGCGAGGACAGCUUUUUGGACGUUCGAUCUCAAAUCAGGUAGGACUACCCGCUGAACUUAAGCAUAUCAAUAAGCCGGAGGAA
RNAcentral lists this ribosomal RNA (653 nucleotides) under uncultured Tomentella. Its description in RNAcentral is "eukaryotic LSU rRNA". The stretch from base 216 to 370 matches the Rfam family "5.8S ribosomal RNA". The record is from RNAcentral. Lineage: Eukaryota; Fungi; Basidiomycota; Agaricomycetes; Thelephorales; Thelephoraceae.